GGGAGUGAUUUUGGCUUCGACACGGGAGGCUGAGGUCACAUUGCAAGCCGCAGAGUCUGGCUGCGUUAACAACAGGCUAGCACUAUAGGUGCCAACAAUAACCAACCGGCUUACGCUUACGCCGCCUAAUUCCGGCGUAGCCUAAGUCGCUAGACCUGCGAGUGUCUAGCCGUCUGCCCCAUCCGUCACUAUCCGGGUGGUUUGGCGGGCGUCAUAAAAGAUAGUGUGCAGCCUUGCCUACGCCGAUAAAGCUUGGCGAAGAGACCAUCGGCUAGCAGUUGGCGUACCGUGUUGAUUGGGGCUACCAACUGCGAAAUCCUAACAAUCAACUAAGCUUGUAGACGUGUGGCAUCGAAUCUCGUGGACCCCGGUUCGAACCCGGGCACUUCCACAC
This 394-nucleotide transfer-messenger RNA is filed under the name Chloroflexota bacterium. RNAcentral's name for it is "Chloroflexi bacterium transfer-messenger RNA". It matches the Rfam family "transfer-messenger RNA". From Rfam's summary of the family: Bacterial tmRNA, also known as 10Sa RNA or SsrA, is named for its dual tRNA and mRNA-like properties. Its role is to liberate the mRNA from a stalled ribosome. Lineage: Bacteria; Bacillati; Chloroflexota. RNAcentral also lists the same sequence under 1 other name. The record is from RNAcentral.